GACGUAGGGCGCAAGCGUUGUCCGGAUUUAUUGGGCGUAAAGAGCUCGUAGGCGGCUCGUUGCGUCGGCUGUGAAAACCCGCAGCUCAACUGUGGGCUUGCAGCCGAUACGGGCGGGCUGGAGUUCGGUAGGGGAGACUGGAAUUCCUGGUGUAGCGGUGAAAUGCGCAGAUAUCAGGAGGAACACCUAUUGCGAAGGCAGCUCGCUGGGACGUAACUGACGCUGAGACGCGAAAGCGUGGGGAGCAAACAGG
Molecule: ribosomal RNA, 253 nt
Filed under: uncultured bacterium
Lineage: Bacteria
Description: partial 16S ribosomal RNA
Rfam family: Bacterial small subunit ribosomal RNA
Source: RNAcentral